RNAcentral lists this small RNA (1622 nucleotides) under Arabidopsis thaliana (thale cress). RNAcentral describes it as "ATSL102650". Lineage: Eukaryota; Viridiplantae; Streptophyta; Magnoliopsida; Brassicales; Brassicaceae. The record is from RNAcentral.
GUUGAUUAUAAUCAAACUGUUGGGGCUCAAAAGUGAUAUUAGGUUCCUUUUCAUGUUGAAAACUAGAAUUAGUAGACGUUUCAUUCACCAUGCCAAAACCAAAUAUAAUAAUUUGCCAUGAACCCUCUAUUAUAUAAAUGCUUUGCGACCGUUUUGGCAGAAAAUAGCGACCAAUUUUGCACUUUCGACAUGGACAAGACAUAUUACCAGUUUUUUGCAUGAUUGACAAUUGAUUUGCAUUUAUCAUGAAUUCUUCUAGCCUAUCUGCAAACUCUCUUGUCAUUGAUCCAUCAACAUCUUUGUGUUUAUAUAUCCACUCCCGCCGGAUAUAAAUCUCGUGAGACGCCGACAUAUUAUAUAUAUUUAUUUUGAAGAUAAAAGAAAUAUAAAAUUUGAGAAGAAAAGAUUUGAAAACGAAAUUUGAAGAAGAAUGUUUAAUAUUGAAGAAGAGAGAUUGUGAUGUUCCUUACUCAUCCCAACGUGACUUUAUAUAGGCAUACAAAUCUAUUUGCGACGAAUUUUUGCGACUAUAUUGCGAGGAAUUGUAAACUAGUUAGGUAGCACAUUUUAAAACGUUUAUCACCUACCAUAUAUAUUCGUCUCAAAUAUGUCUCACAAUUGUGUCAAAUUUUUACACGCAAAUUCCACACCAAAUGUGCAUGUACUUUGCGAUGAAUUGGAUUGGCUGUUGACUUCGACUCACAUUCGUCGCUAAUUAGACGCUUAUCCGCCUCGAAUUAGCGACGAAUUAUUUCCAAGCAUAUUUGCGACGAAGUUGAGUUGAAUUACACUAUUCCAUCCUUAUUCGUCGCUAAUUAUACGCUUAUCUGCCUCGAAUUAGCGACGAAAAUUUUCCAAACACAUUUUCGACGAUAUUGAGUCGAAUCGUUAAUGCGAUGGUAAUUCCACGCUAAUUACAUGCAAUUUAGCGACACAUUUAUUUCCACGCAAUAUUUUCAUGCUACUCACAUGUUUUCUUGUAAUAUAUAUGGUGAUUCUCUUGAGUCUUAAUUUAAUUUAAAGUAAGAAAAUCUUUAGAUAUCAUGUGUACUAUAUAUGAUGAAUCUUAUAGAAAUAACUAGAUUAGGAUCCGCAUAUAUGCGGGUUUUUGAUUUAAAAUUUUCAUAACCCGUGAAAAUAAACAAAAAAAUAGAAAACAAAAAUAGAUGGCUCGGAAAAACAAAGUUAGAUUUUGCUUUUAUGUUUCUAUUAUAUUGUUUCCAUUAUAUUUAUUUUUUUCAUGCAAAUUUUGAUAAGACUUCCUUCACAUAAUCGAUUUCCAGAAUCUUUAAGAAGUGACUGAUGCACAAAAUCUUGAAUAGUUUUAAAAACAAAUUAAAUUUUAGUCAGUUAAGUUUUCUUUUUAGCGUUAGUAAAUAAUAAUAAAAAAACAUUCUGAAUUAUUAAUCUCUCUCUCUUUUGUUUUGUAAAUGUAAACAUGUAGAUAAAAUAUUUAUUAAAUAUUAUUAAUUGUACUUGAAUUCAGAAUGAUAACCUGCACAUUUUUUUAUAAUUUUAUUUGGUAAAUAAUUUUAGAAACUGGAUUUAAUUUGAGAAAUUUUUUGAAUGAAUUUCAGUAUACGUGACUACACUUCUAUCAAUAUCUUAUAGUUAUUGAAUAA